RNAcentral lists this transfer RNA (72 nucleotides) under Camelus bactrianus (Bactrian camel). It matches the Rfam family "tRNA". Rfam says of the family: Transfer RNA (tRNA) molecules are approximately 80 nucleotides in length. Their secondary structure includes four short double-helical elements and three loops (D, anti-codon, and T loops). The record is from Rfam by way of RNAcentral. RNAcentral also lists the same sequence under 2 other names. Lineage: Eukaryota; Metazoa; Chordata; Mammalia; Artiodactyla; Camelidae.
GAGGCUGUGGCUCAGUGGUAGAGCGCGUGCUUAGCAGGCACAAGGUCCUGGGUCUGAUCCCCAGCACCUGCU